UCAAGCAAUCCUCCCGCCUCGGCCUUCAAAAGUGUUGGGACUAUAGGCCCAGCCUCACCUCCCCAUUUUAACAAUCUACUACACAGCUCUGAAUCUUUCAACUUCCACCAAAAAAAAACAAAACAAAACACUUGCAUGGUUCCCUAUUGUCUAGGCCACAAAAUCCAAGAUCCUAGACCUGAAACUCAAAACCUCCAUGCUCUGACUCUCCUGUAGUCCAUGCUCUGACUCCAGCAUAAUUCUCCAGCCUCAUCACCUUCAGCUUUCCAUCACUCAUUUGCCUGACAAUUCAGCCAAUCAAGACUAGCUGCUGUUCUUUCAAUACACCUUACAUUUCCUCUACUUUAAGCCUUUCCCUCAUGCUGUGCCCUUCUUCUGGAAUGCUCACCAACUCCCACCUCCACUUCUCCAAGUCCCUGAAAUCAAGCCCAGCUGGAUGGCUACUACUCCAAGGAAGGCUCAUUUCUGCUGAAUGCACACCAGCUCCAAUCCUCCAAGGCAAAUACUCCUGCCCCUUCACCACCUGGUCCUCAGCCCUUUUCUCAUGGUGCAGUUCAUCUAUGAAAGAGACUGAGCCCCUAUGAGUGAGGGUGAUGUCAACACAACAGCAGGCACCCUUGGUAACCAAGUCAGCUUCCAUAUUGAUCAGGACUCUUUUGAUUGCAAGAAACCAAACUCGGAUCUUUAUAAAAGCAAAGGUAAUUGACUCAGUCAGAAGCACAUACAGCACGAGAGUUGUAGGCAUGGCUACACUUAAGCCAUCCCUUUAUCUGGCUUUCAUUAGAGCCUCGGCCGCGCCUCUUUUGUGGGAGAGACUUGAGGGAGCCGAGGCAGUUUCCCAGCCGCUGUGAUGUUGCUAAAGAUUAAAAAGGAGCUUUGAAGCUGCACCAGUUCUCUCUGUGCCCCCUCGGUACAGGACCUCAGAAAGACCCAAGCCAUCUGGCAAACCUGACAUAAAGACAAAAUAAAGUGAUUGAAACAGUC
Molecule: long non-coding RNA, 984 nt
Filed under: Homo sapiens (human)
Lineage: Eukaryota; Metazoa; Chordata; Mammalia; Primates; Hominidae
Description: HSALNT0385869
Source: RNAcentral